UACGGAGGGUGCAAGCGUUGUCCGGAUUUAUUGGGUUUAAAGGGUGCGUAGGCGGCUUUUUAAGUCAGUGGUGAAAGACAACAGCUCAACUGUUGCAGUGCCAUUGAUACUGAAGAGCUUGAGUACAGAUGAGGUAGGCGGAAUUUAUGGUGUAGCGGUGAAAUGCAUAGAUACCAUAAAGAACACCUAGUGCGAAGGCAGCUUACUAAGCUGUAACUGACGCUGAGGCACGAAAGUGUGGGGAUCAAACAGG
This 253-nucleotide ribosomal RNA is filed under the name uncultured bacterium. RNAcentral's name for it is "partial 16S ribosomal RNA". It matches the Rfam family "Bacterial small subunit ribosomal RNA", at positions 524 to 776 of the family's 1533-position model. The record is from RNAcentral.